RNAcentral lists this ribosomal RNA (807 nucleotides) under Tisbe furcata. Its description in RNAcentral is "SSU rRNA". It matches the Rfam family "Eukaryotic small subunit ribosomal RNA", at positions 41 to 849 of the family's 1831-position model. Lineage: Eukaryota; Metazoa; Arthropoda; Copepoda; Harpacticoida; Tisbidae. The record is from RNAcentral.
AGAUUAGCCAUGCAUGUCUAAGUACAGGCCUCAUUAAGGUGANACCGCGAAUGGCUCAUUAAAUCACACCUAAUAUACUGGAUAGUAUCAGUUACUUGGAUAACUGCGGUAAUUCUGGAGCUAAUACAUGCGUCCAAGCCCCGAACUUACGUGAGGGGCGCUUUUAUUAGAUCAAAACCAAACGGCUUCGGCCGUCAUUCUGGUGAUUCUGAAUAACUUUGGGCUGAUCGCACGGCUUCAUGCCGGCGACGUAUCUUUCUAAGGUGUGCCCUAUCAACUGUCGACUGUGACAUAGACGCUCACAGUGGUGAUGACGGGUAACGGGGAAUCAGGGUUCGAUUCCGGAGAGGGAGCCUGAGAAACGGCUACCACUUCUACGGAAGGCAGCAGGCACGCAAAUUACCCACUGGUCGAAGACCGAGGUAGUGACGAAAAAUAACGAUAUCGGACUCAUCCGAGGCCCGAUAAUCGGAAUGAGUACACUUUAAAACCUUUAACGAGGACCCAUUGGAGGGCAAGUCUGGUGCCAGCAGCCGCGGUAAUUCCAGCUCCAAUAGCGUAUAUUAAAGUUGUUGCGGUUAAAAAGCUCGUAGUUGGAUCUCGGCGGGUAGGGGGCGGUUCGUUAUCUGACGCUACUGCCCCAUUUACCCGUGUUUUUGACGGAGGUUUCAGGGUGCUCUUAACCGAGUGUCCUGGGAUGCCGUCAGGUUUACUUUGAAAAAAUUAGAGUGCUCAAAGCAGGCUUUAUACGCUUGAAUAUUCGUGCAUGGAAUAAUGGAAUAGGACGUCGCUUCUAUUUGUUNCUUU